Long non-coding RNA from Macrosteles quadrilineatus (aster leafhopper), 694 nucleotides. RefSeq lists it as uncharacterized. NCBI's taxonomy places the organism in Eukaryota, Metazoa, Arthropoda, Insecta, Hemiptera, Cicadellidae. The record is from RefSeq and is a predicted model, not a curated record. The transcript is spliced from 4 exons.
AUGAUAAGCUGGCCAUUUUGACUAAGCAUUAAGUUAUUACUUUUAUAUUGUAAAUAUUUAUCUUUUUUAUUUCUUUCCUUGCUUACAGGAAAAUUGGUGACUCGUGUGUUACAAACAAUAGUUUUUAAGGGAAACAAUGUGAAAUAAUUUGUAUAGGUAGGUUAUGUAGGCUAAUCAACAUGAUAACAGACACUUUAGAUGAUCCUGGAGCAAAGGCUGUAAUUUGACCUGAACCCAAAUUGGUCUAUAUUUUAAAUAUUGUCUUGAACCAAUAAGUUAAGAGGACUAACCUUUCUGGACGACAUUGCCAUCGACAUCACAGCAGAUGAGAGAGAAAGAGAGACCAGAGUUGUGGACCCUGGAGGCAAUUACCAUACUGCCGUGAUAAUGUUCCUUGGUCUAACCAUAACUUAAGUGAGAACUGAAGCCUACCAGUAAAAUGGGGGCGUUGUAAUUAAUAUCCUCCGACAUUGGAGAAUACAGGGGAGAGGUGUCAGAGGAAGAGGAGAUGGAGGAUGGGGCGAAGUAAAGACUAAGAUUGAAGAGAACUAACUAAUGGCCUGAUGACAGGGUGGAUCGCGAUGGAGGCAUGGAGGUUGGGGGAGAGGAGGCUGAAGAAGUGGAGACAAAUCAGUUUAGAUCCAUUCUGUUGAUUAGUUUAACAUUUAUUUUGAACAUCAGUAUUUAAAUUUUU